CUGUGAAGCUUACAGACGGUUUCGAUCAUAAUUACAGUCGGCUAUGGAUUUGAAAUGUCAACCCGUGCAAUUUGCGGUUCGAAUAACGGAUUACAUAUUGUUGAAACCAAUCAAAACUGGCCAACCGAAUUAUGCUUAUCAAUAACCUUAUCCCUCCACAUGGCAUCAUAUAAUUAAUUCCUUAGAUUACACUUAUUCAUCACUCAACAUACUGACCAAAUCAUUAAAGACUUUUCAAUUUUCAUCUUCUUCCAUUUUUUCCUUAAACCUUUUUUUCUCUGCAACUUCACCUCACCAUUUUUCCUUCACCGUUUUCUUCCCCCCUCCCCCCACAUCAACUAACGACUCAAUGUUUUUGCAAAGUCAUCACCAUUGGGACUCAUUGCCGAACUCGUCAUCACCGGAACUCAUUGCCGAUCUCGGAGGAUCAUGGCUGAACUCGUCUCUCUCAGAUCUGUAUUUUUUCUAAUGUGUUUGUAGAUAUGAAUUUUUCUCAAUUUUUCUUCCACUUCUACUUUUGCGGUUCUACAUUCACCUGCCCGACACCGACCACCAAACCUAAGGCUUGACUCGGUCGAUUUUGAAGGGGAGAUCGGUCGAUAGCGGAUAAGAAGACUCUCAACCCGAAAUGUUCGGUUCGGAUGAUGGGUGAAGGGUAAACCCAACCCAACGCGACCCGUGCACACCCAGCAGAUGAACGAAGUGGAUUAGUACUCUUAAGUUCUUUUAUGGCAUUAUCAUUAACGAGGUUGACAGAAAUUAAAAUUUGAAGGAGCAAAAUGAGAUUUUGGUAAAAGUGCAACAAAUAAAGUGAGAUUUUUUUUAUGAAAGUGUAGGGGUUCUAACGAGUCGAAUAAAAUAUUAUGUAUGGCUUACAUGAUAAUUUUUGUAAGCCUUAUUAACGUUAGAUGGACGGGAGGGUGACAUUCCAACUUAAAGCGUAAAAGGUUGACUGUCACAAUUGAAAAUGGAGGGGCUAAAGUGAGAUUGUGAUGAAAGUGCAAGAGUGCCAAGUGUAAUUAACCCAAACAAGUAAGGGUGUGAUGAUUAUGAGAUUUUUGCUCAUAAAAGGAAAAUCUUAUUCA
Non-coding RNA from Camellia sinensis, 1085 nucleotides. The record is from RefSeq and is a predicted model, not a curated record. NCBI's taxonomy places the organism in Eukaryota, Viridiplantae, Streptophyta, Magnoliopsida, Ericales, Theaceae.